UCAGGAGGUGGCUGAGUUUGUAAGGCGGUGGAUUGUAGCUCUAUUUACGGGGGUUCCUCCCUCCUGAU
This 68-nucleotide transfer RNA is filed under the name Notospermus geniculatus. Its description in RNAcentral is "tRNA-Tyr". It matches the Rfam family "tRNA". Rfam says of the family: Transfer RNA (tRNA) molecules are approximately 80 nucleotides in length. Their secondary structure includes four short double-helical elements and three loops (D, anti-codon, and T loops). Lineage: Eukaryota; Metazoa; Nemertea; Pilidiophora; Heteronemertea; Lineidae. The record is from RNAcentral.